This 402-nucleotide unclassified non-coding RNA is filed under the name soil metagenome. RNAcentral's name for it is "partial contains 5.8S ribosomal RNA, internal transcribed spacer 2, and large subunit ribosomal RNA". The stretch from base 1 to 121 matches the Rfam family "5.8S ribosomal RNA", at positions 35 to 154 of the family's 154-position model. The record is from RNAcentral.
GAUGAAGAACGUAGCGAAAUGCGAUAAGUAAUGUGAAUUGCAGAAUUCAGUGAAUCAUCGAAUCUUUGAACGCACCUUGCGCCCUUUGGCUAUUCCGAAGGGCAUGCCUGUUUGAGUAUCAUGAACACCUCAACUCUCAUGGUUUGCCAUGAUGAGCUUGGACUCUGGGGGUCUUGCUGGCCUAUGGUCAGCUCCUCUCAAAUAAAUCAGCUUGCCAGUGUUUGGUGGCAUCACAGGUGUGAUAACUAUCUACGCUUGUGGUUUUCCAUCAGGUAACCUUCAGUGAUGGAGGUUCGCUGGAGCUCAUAAAUGUCUCUCCUCGGUGAGGACAGCCCUUUGAACGUUUGAUCUCAAAUCAGGUAGGACUACCCGCUGAACUUAAGCAUAUCAAUAAGCGGAGGA